GGGGGAGCAAGCGUUGUUCGGAUUUACUGGGCGUAAAGGGCGCGUAGGCGGCGCAACAAGUCACUUGUGAAAUCUCCGGGCUUAACUCGGAGCGGCCAAGUGAUACUGUCGUGCUAGAGUGCGGAAGGGGCAACUGGAAUUCUCGGUGUAGCGGUGAAAUGCGUAGAUAUCGAGAGGAACGCCUGCGGCGAAGGCGGGUUGCUGGGCCGACACUGACGCUGAGGCGCGAAAGCCAGGGGAGCGAACGGGAUUAGAUACCCCGGUAGUCCUGGCCUUAAACGAUGGAUGCUUGGUGUCCGGGGUUACAUAGUCCCCGGGUGCCGUCGCUAACGCCUUAAGCAUCCCGCCUGGGGAGUACGCACGCAAGUGUG
Molecule: ribosomal RNA, 371 nt
Filed under: uncultured organism
Description: bacterial SSU rRNA
Rfam family: Bacterial small subunit ribosomal RNA
Source: RNAcentral